This is a non-coding RNA of Schistosoma curassoni, 45 nucleotides long. The record is from Rfam. Lineage: Eukaryota; Metazoa; Platyhelminthes; Trematoda; Strigeidida; Schistosomatidae.
AUCCAGCUGACGAGUCCCAAAUAGGAUGUAACGCGCAUCACGGAU